Molecule: unclassified non-coding RNA, 230 nt
Filed under: Hevea brasiliensis (rubber tree)
Lineage: Eukaryota; Viridiplantae; Streptophyta; Magnoliopsida; Malpighiales; Euphorbiaceae
Source: RNAcentral
GUUAAGGCCAUUAGAGAAACGGCCGGUGGGUAGACGAGUGGGAAAAUCAAUGCCAUAGGGAGGAGAAUCAGCUCGGGCAGUGGUUGCAAGAUAAUUAUUGUUGCCAUUAUCAACUAGAGAGUCACCAAAAACAAAGAAAGCCCUAGCCUCUGCAGCCAGAGGAGCAAAACUUGCCAGAGUUAACACCAGCAGGCCCAACAUUAUCCACGAGGUGAAACUUGAUGAUGAUG